This 202-nucleotide long non-coding RNA is filed under the name Gossypium barbadense (sea-island cotton). RNAcentral's name for it is "long non-coding RNA (GBAR_LNC007029)". The record is from RNAcentral. Lineage: Eukaryota; Viridiplantae; Streptophyta; Magnoliopsida; Malvales; Malvaceae.
GCAUCAGUUAUUUGUUGAACAAAUAACGGUCUAGCUUUCAAUUUAGAUACUAUCGAACCAUCAUCAGACAUGGCCAUAUGCGCAUUCAUUGCAUGCAAAGCAAACAAUGAUUUUUGGCUUAAAGCAUUAGCAACAACGUUAGCCUUUCUCUGUUGAUAGUCAAUCACAAGCUCGUAGUCUUUUAACAAUUCUAACCAUCAGC